This 397-nucleotide ribosomal RNA is filed under the name uncultured bacterium. RNAcentral describes it as "partial 16S ribosomal RNA". It matches the Rfam family "Bacterial small subunit ribosomal RNA", at positions 523 to 918 of the family's 1533-position model. The record is from RNAcentral.
AUACGUAGGGGGCGAGCGUUGUCCGGAAUGAUUGGGCGUAAAGGGCGCGUAGGCGGCCCGGUAAGCCUGGAGUGAAAGUCCUGUUUUUAAGAUGGGAAUUGCUUUGGAUACUGUCGGGCUUGAGUGCAGGAGAGGUAAGUGGAAUUCCACGUGUAGCGGUGAAAUGCGUAGAGAUUGGGAGGAACACCAGUGGCGAAGGCGACUUACUGGACUGUAACUGACGCUGAGGCGCGAAAGUGUGGGGAGCAAACAGGAUUAGAUACCCUGGUAGUCCACACUGUAAACGAUGAAUGCUAGGUGUAGGGGGUAUCGACCCCUUCUGUGCCGCAGUCAACACAAUAAGCAUUCCGCCUGGGGAGUACGGCCGCAAGGUUGAAACUCAAAGGAAUUGACGGGG